UGGGGAAUAUUGGACAAUGGGCGAAAGCCUGAUCCAGCAAUGCCGCGUGAGUGAUGAAGGCCUUAGGGUUGUAAAGCUCUUUUACCCGGGAUGAUAAUUGACAGUACCGGGAGAAGUAAGCUCCGGCUAACUCCGUGCCAGCAGCCGCGGUAAUACGGAGGGAGCUAGCGUUGUUCGGAAUUACUGGGCGUAAAGACGCAGCGUAAGGCGGUUACUCAAGUCAGAGGUGAAAGCCCGGGGCUCAACCCCGGAACUGCCUUUGAAACUAGGUAACUAGAAUCUUGGAGAGGUCAGUGGAAUUCCGAGUGUAGAGGUGAAAUUCGUAGAUAUUCGGAAGAACACCAGUGGCGAAGGCGACUGACUGGACAAGUAUUGACGCUGAGGUGCGAAAGCGUGGGGAGCAAACA
RNAcentral lists this ribosomal RNA (407 nucleotides) under uncultured Novosphingobium sp. Its description in RNAcentral is "bacterial SSU rRNA". It matches the Rfam family "Bacterial small subunit ribosomal RNA", at positions 355 to 774 of the family's 1533-position model. Lineage: Bacteria; Pseudomonadati; Pseudomonadota; Alphaproteobacteria; Sphingomonadales; Sphingomonadaceae. The record is from RNAcentral.